This 38023-nucleotide long non-coding RNA is filed under the name Coffea arabica (coffee). Its description in RNAcentral is "long non-coding RNA (CARA_LNC006643)". Lineage: Eukaryota; Viridiplantae; Streptophyta; Magnoliopsida; Gentianales; Rubiaceae. The record is from RNAcentral.
GGGAAGAUUCAAUCAGUGGAUCCUAGUCGAGCUCUGGAGAAGAAAAGAAAAAGAAACAGCUAGUUUUAGUAGAUGCUGCUAAAGGUCGUUUGACAGGAGAAGACAAAGAUGCAGGAGUAGCAAUGGUUCGCCGGAGAAGAGCGAUGACGGCGACGAUACAGGACUCGGUCGGGUCGGGUCAGGGUGUGAGAAGGGAGGAGGAGUUGACUCGUCGGGGAAAGAGAGAGAGAAGAAAAGGAGGGACAGAGAAGGAAGGCGCCGUAGACUUGGCUUCCAGCACACAAUUAGUGAUAAGUGCAGUAUUAUUUAUUUAUGUUAUACAACGACUAAUAAUUUCUAAGGAGUAUUAACGAGGAAUUUUGGAAGUUACUAAAUUAUGAUGGAAAAAUUGGUGAAAAGGUUCCGAGUAGUAGACAAAUUCAUUUAUUUAUCCCUGAUUUGGUAAGACAGGGAUCCCAAUGAACGUAUACUCAUUCACUUUUCUUUUAGAUUGAUCGUUUUUAACACUGAGAGCAUUGAAUAAAUGAUAAUUAUAUAAAAUUUAAAUUUAAAAUUUAUUUUUUUUACAUGUGUCGUGGAUACAACGAUGAUAUUUGUCAACACUAUGGAAAAAAAACUCAUAUAAAUUUGACUUAAAUGUCUUGAAUUAAUUUAUGGAAUAUAACAUCCUUUAUUACUUUUUUUAAUUUGUCUUUGGUAUGUUAUAUGUGUAAAAUGUAGAAUUUUCACAUUUUUUGCUUUAAAAAUGAUUAAGGGUGUUUUUUAUAAUACUGAAGUCUGAAAUCUGAAGUAUAAAUCCAUUAGGUUAUUGAAUUGUUAAAUAUUAAAUUUAAUACAUUUGAGUGGCAUAUCACAUUCAGUAAUAAGUAAAUAGUUUAUUACUUAAUUUUGAGAACAAACUUUCUUUAGAAAAUUCAGUGCCGUUUGAUUAAUUUAGAUGUUCAUUUUUUUUAUGAAACGGUCUGAAUAUAUUAAAAUUUGAAUCUAUUAAAUUUAAGUGCUGAAUUGAAUUAUCAAAUAGGGCCUAAGAGUAUGUGUCGAAGCAGUUAAAUCGUAAUAUCUGAUAAAUUCAACCACAUAGAGUUUUGGAUUAAUUACAUUUAUCUCCCUUUAAAUUUAUCCAUAUUACCAAUUAAAUCUUAAAUUUUGACCAAAUAAUGGUCUAACCCUUUGAAUGCACAAAAGUUUAUCAAAAAAAUACCCUUGACAUCUUCUACCAUUAGAAAUGUUGCUAAUGUAAGCAAAAAAAAAAAAAAAAUGGUGUGAGACUCCAAAAAAUGCCUUAUAAACCAUGUAUGUCAUUAGGGAUGGCAACGGGCGCACCCGCCCCGUAGGGGUCUAUUGGGGCGGCGGGGAAUUUUUUCCCCCCGUUUGAGGGAUACCCCCGCCCCCCGCCGCCUGCCCCUGUUUGGAAAAAAAAAAGGUAUAUAUAUGUGCAUAAUUAUAUAUAUCAUGAUAUUAUCAACUAUACUACUAAUUAUACAUGUUUAUUAAUAAAAAUUAUUAAUUAUUUAUACUAAAUUUAUUAAUACAUUUAUAUUAAAUUCCUAACUACACUUAAUACAAUAAUACUUUUUUCUAAAAAAAUAAAAAUAAUAAUUUAGUGAUUGUAUUUGUAUCAAAAAUAAAAACUUGAUUAUUUUAGUUAUAUUUGUUUUAUCAUAUUAUAUUGUAUUCAAAUAACUUUUGUUUAAUUAUUUUUAUGAGUUUCAUUUGUGAAGUUACAAUGAAUAAUAAUUUGGUGAUAUGUUAAUAUUUUAGUACUUGAUUAUUUGCUCAAAUUUAAUGAAAUUAUAUAAUUUUUUUUUAACCCCGCCCCACCGCCCCACCCCCGCCGCCCAUUGCCACCCCUAUAUAUCACAAAAAAUAAUUUUCUUUAUUCCCAAAAUAUGAAUAACAGCUUCAUACUUCAAAAAAAAAGGAAAAGGAAAGAGUAAACCAGAAAGUAAAAUCUUCUAAUGCAAGUGACCUAAAAAAAAUCUAAUGCAAUUGAUGUUUCUCCCCGAUUUAAUUACACAUUGAUUUGGCUCAUUGUAUAUGUUUUAAUCAAUAACUUAAAACCAAAAACCAAGAACUAAUAAUUUGUCUACUUAAACAUUUUCACAUGGAAUCAAACUCAAAAUCACUAAAUAUUCCUUUCAAAUCAGACUUAUUCAAGCAAAUGAAUCGACUGCCAAUUUCUUCUUCAACGGCAAUUUGAUUUCAACUUUAACAUAAGCCUUUUCCUUUUACCCGUAGAAAUUUCUUCUCUUUUCUUUCAUUAUUCCGGUUGCUGUCCCUUUGAUGAUUCUAUGACUAAAACUUCACGAAUUUAUGAACCUAAAAUUUGACGAGCUGGGUCUCGAGGUUUUGGGGCUUGCUUGUGUUCCAUGCCUGGUGAGAAUUAUUUUGCUGUAAACAUUUUGGGUUUUGGUGGAAAAAAGGAAGGAAUAGCCACUGGUUUAGGCUCCUUUGGUGGCUCUACAGCCAUUUUUAGCCAAUUUUAAGGUUGGAAUCAUAUGAUUUGCACUAAAAAAAUGACUCUCAGAUGCAAUUUUUGCUAGAAUUUAUUAUUGGACAGAGGUGGUCGAUGACGGCAGUUGACAGCGGCAGGUGUGGCAGCAGUGAGAUUACUCGGAAAUGGAGCAGGGACGGUCAUCUGUCCUUGAGCAGUUAAUGGCCAUGAUUUGGCCAAAAAAUUUUGUGCGGUCCAGAUAACAAGUUAUGCAUCGAUUUUCACACCGUGUGUGACUAAAGUUAUACGUUGUGCAAACAAAGUUACGACGUAUGUAACCAAAGUUGCGCGCUGUUGAAAAUGGCCAAAAUCGUUGGGGACGGUUGCAGGUGCAACCGUCCGUGCCCCUUGUCCGAGGUUACUCUCUUAAAAAUUUUAAAGUUUCUAAUAAAGUUGGUAAGGAAAGAGAUGAAAACAAAAUAAAAAAGGAAAGAAUAAAAAAAAUUUACAAGAAGAUUUAUUAAUAUCUUUUAUCAUCCAAACAAACUCCUAUCUUUUCACAUUAGUAGGCAUUUUGGUCUUUUCUCCACUUCUGUUUGAGAUACUUCACGGAAGUUAAUCAUAAGGGGGGUAUUUAUUAUUUGGUCAAACUUGAGGGUUUGAUUGGUAAUUUAGUCAUACCUCAGGAGAGGUAAAUGUAAAUGCCUAAAAACUAAGCCUUCAAGUCAGCCUAUGCUUGGUCCUUAUCCGUAGGAAAUGAAAGUAAAUGGAAUGAGGAUCAAUUUACUCACCAAGUAAUCCAGUCAUUUGUCUACAGGAUCAACCAUAUUAAUAAUGCACAUAGCAUUUAAUAAAACGUAUCACAUAAUUCAAUCACAAUUAGCACAUUAUUUGUGUAUUGCAUAUAUAAUGUAUGCAUUUGUAUUUUUUUAAUCUUUAACUCCAAUCCUUAAAGAUCUUUUCCUCUUUCUUCCUUUGUCUUCAGCUAUAAAAUAUGCUACAAUCACUUUAUACUCGCGAUACCUACCAUUCUUAUUCAUGAUAGGGCAAUAUGUCGGUCAAAAUAUAGUUCCAAAUAUUAUACUAUGGUUAAUAUUUUUACAUGUAAUAGAGUCAUUUGGUUUUUUUUUUUUUUUUGUCAACGCAGCGGGUAUCUGGGUCCGUGGACUGGUUACCGUACGACUCAACUAAUCCCACUGCGUGGCCGGGAGAGGCUGCCUAACAUCACCGACCAGGUAAACCCAGGGACUUGAUCCCUGGACGUGGCUCUCCCCCAACUUGGACUACGACCACGGAACCGAACCCCGAAGGGCAUGUAAUAGAGUCAUUUGUUUAUUACUAUAUAUCUCGUGGGAGAGCUGUACUAGCAUUUAAACAUUGCAAUUCUCCAAUCUUUCCCGUCCUUAACUUAUUUUAACAAAUUCAAUAACGUCCAGAGUCACACAUAUUUAAUCAAGCAUAAAGACAAAUUGUAAUCAUUCAUGGACAUAUAAUCAUUAAAUAAGUACAUAUGCUCAAUCCAAUUUGAUAUCACAAAAUACAUUUUUAGCUAUUAAAUUCAUAAAUACUUUAUAAUGUAGACACCAAAUUUUUGGUGUUUUAUUAUUUAUUUAUUUACUAUUCGUUUUUUAUUUGUUCUAUUUUAUUUGUCACAAUUAGUUAUUUACUUUUAGUUUUAGUUAUUUUAGCCAUUUUAGCGUAGAAUUUCUCAAAGGAAAAAAGAAAAGCGUUCAAAAAUAUGUUUUAGUUGUUUUAGAUUUAGUUUCAUUAUUUAAAAAUGAAAAUGAAAAAAAAGGAAAAUGGAAUUUGCAUUUUGUUGUUUCUAGUUUAUUUAUUCUUUAUCCAAUGUUAAUUGUUUUGUUAUUUCUUUUUAUUAUUAUUAAUUUUGUUUUAAUUAAUCUAAAAAAAUAAAAAAAAAAUCAAAAAAAAAAUCAAAAAAAAAUCACAAUUCUAUUUCUGCGCGAAUCCAUUUCCACUUCACAUUCUAGUAUUUUCUAUCCUUAGUGCCGGUUUAUAUCACCACGACCUCGCACCACCAAUUCCAUUUUUUUUUCCUCGGCAUCAAUACAUCCCAAAACCACAACAAGAUUUUCCAUCUGCCUCGUGAUCAUCGACAGGGAGAGAGAGAGAGUGAGCUGCAAUCAGCAAGCCAUGAGGACGAGAGGAAACCAGAGAAAGGGUGGAGUGAGUUGCGGCCUUGAGCUGUCCGAGAGAGGGUGAGAGCAAGAGGAGAAACCGCGGCUGCAAAAUUUCCUGGUUCUGUCCGAAAGCUAGAGUGAAGCAGGGAGAAACCGUGAGCAAGUUUCACCAUUCUGCACUUCCAUUUCUACCAGCUGCAAUCAAGUUUCCCAGCCGCAACCACCACCAGUUCCAUCAUCUGCCACAGCCCAAGUAAACCUGUAUUUCAGCCGUGCGUGAGAGCCGAGAGGAAGAAAAAUUUUCAGACUUUCUGUGCAAGAGCUUAGCUUGCUGUGAGGUAAUUUCUGGACUUUUUAGGUUGAUUACUAGUGGAGGAAACUAUAUGCGAGUUGCAUGUGAGGCUUGUACAGUCGGUGGAUAGAAAUCAAGCCAUUAGGAAAUUUCUGUUUUGGCUAAGUGUUGCUGCCGAGAAACUGAUGAGAGAACGCAGCUGUAUUUCUGUUUUUCUAGGACAAUCUGAGCACCUAAGUGUACUUAGCCGAAUGAAAUUGUGAUGAUUAAGACCAUGCAUGUUAAAUUGUGCAUUCGGAUGAUGUUAUGAAGCAUGCAGAAAUUCUGUUUUGGCUAAAUGUCUCUGCCGAUGAACUAAUUUGGGACAUGUAAUUUUAAUUCUGACUCCAUGUGAUAAUCUGAGCUUAAUUGAGGAUCCAAUUUGAUAGAUAACCUUUUUAUUUGGUGUUGCAUGUGAACCUUAUGGCCAGGAAUCUGAUUGCAUGGCUGGAAUUUUUUUAUUAGAAGUUGUUGGACUGCUAAACACUUUUCCAGUUUAGCCGAUGGAGUUGUUUUGGGAGUUGUAUGGGUAUUUUAGAAUGAGAUUUGCUGGAAAGUGUUUGAUUCUCACUGGGUUGUGUGUUUAGCUAACUAAAUGCUGGAUGAUUAAGCCCUGCAUGAGAUUAAUUAGCUGUGUGUAAACCAGAAAUUUGAAUGAAACAAAAAAAAAAAAAUCUGCUGCAUGCAUGUCAUCCGUAAAUAGUUGAACAAAUUCUGGAAUUUUGGAUACAUUUUGUUGGUGACCGACCCUGUUUUGAACUGGAAUUGAUAAUGACUUCAUUUAUUAGUCUUGCAUGUUAGUUUUGGGUACAUAAUUUAGUGUUUCAGCCGAGGAAAUUCGGUUUAAAGAUGGACUAAAGCUGCUGGAAUUUUUCCAGUGUAGCCGAGUGAAGAAGAAAAGAAUUUUUCAGUUUGUUUUUUGCGAAUUCUGGGUUCUUAUUCAUGUUUGGGGGGCAAAUUCCUUGUAUUUGGUCUGUAAAUGACAAAUUGGGAGAACUGAUUUGAGUGUUUGCAUGCAAAGAUGGCUGAGCUAAGAUAAAAGGAGUAAAAAGCUGCUGCAUCUUUUUGUCUUUUUGUUUUCUUUUCCAUGGCUGUUUAAGGGACCCUUACGUUUAAAUUGCUUGUUAAAUCUGGUUUUAAGGAGAAGGAAUGGAAUGAUUUGAUGUUAAGUUUACGUUUGAGUCCUUAAAACACUUGAGCUAUGAUUAAACACCAUGCUGAAAAAUAUUUGAUCACGGUUGUGAUUAAGAAGCUUGAGCUUGAGAAGAAAGUGCAGCAGUCUUCGGUUGCUAGAGUAUGUGAAGUAAUUGCAGAAACUUGUUUCAUGGCUAUUGCAUAGAACUUGCAUGUUUUUUUCCUUCUAAGUUUUCUACCUGUUGAGGCGAUGGUAAUGACAUAGUUUGCAGCUUAGUUAAAGCUAUGUAUGUGAACUUGAAAUCUGAUUUUUUGGAAAAUAAGAUGUGAGUUUGAGUUGGGUUUCGUUUGAGCAAGCAUGAGAGAAAAUAUUGCAGAAACUCACUUUGAAUUUGAUUUACUUGCUUGUUUGGUUGUUAGAUUCAUGCUUUAAUGUUUUGGUUAGAAGAUUUUUCGAUCAAAAUGGUGUUAAGGUUGAGAAAAUGAAAGUCACGGUUGUCUUCUGGGUUGCCGAAAGCUUUCAGCAGAAAUUUCUGCUGCAGAAUGUUGUUUCUCAUGUUGAUUUUCACGUAGCUUGCAUGAAAACUGCAUGAAUUAAUUUCUGAAAAUUGCACUUUGAUCCCCAAGUCUCCCCUUGUUCCACUAUGGCCCAAUUACAUUCCAUGUUCUUGCAAUUAGGUCCUAAGAUAUUUGCAUUUGAAUCAUUAUUUGCCUUUUCUUUUGCCCUUGAACCCUGGAAGUUCCUAAAAGUGUUUGUUUAAGCUUGAAUGCUUGGCUAGUGUUCAUAAUUGAAUCUUUGAUAACAUUAAUGUUUCAAUUCAAUUACUUGCUUGACUUCAUUGGUUACCAUGUUUUGCUAAGGUGAUACUUAAGGCAAGAGUUUAAGAACUUUGUGUUCAAAUGAGCUUGUGUUCGCCUUUCUUUUUGAAUUUUCUGAAAUAAUUUGGCUUUGGCCUUUUCUUGCUCUUGGAAUUUCAAAGUUUCUAAGAUGUUCCCAUUGGCUUUGAAUGGUUGAUUAAUUUCUUGCAAUUGAGUCCUAAAGUAUUUGCAAUCUGAACCAUGACUUGACUUUUUCAUCACUCUUGAACCUUUAAAGUUCUUAAAUGUUCUAAUUGGGCUCACAUGAUUGAUUAAUGUUUGCAAUUGGAUCCCUUUUACAUGAUAAUUCGCUUCGGUAUGUUUUUACGUGAAUUGUGGACAAAUUUCAAUGGAUAAUUCCCAAUGUCAUGAAAGCUUAAUAAUCUUGGAAGAAUUCAUAGUCUUGGUUUCAUUUGAUUCAGUUUUUCUUAGAUAAUUUGUUAUUUAAUCACAAUAAAUAAUUUCUGUGAUAGUUUUUCUCUUUUUGUGAUUUUUGCAUUGAUUGUGAUGGAUUCAUCGUAAGCAUUUCAAUUUAGCACUCCACUUUAGAUUCUUGAGACCUUUUAUUUAAGACGAGUUUUGCUUGCAUGUGCAUGAUCUAUUCCAUAUUUAAUUUUCGUUUCAUGCUUAAUUUCCACUUUUGUGUUUAAUGGUUGUUUCAUGUGAUUAUUGAUAAUUAAAGUGGUACUUGACCUUUUUAUUAUUUUGGAGGGUAAUUUAAUAAUUUCACUUCAUUAGAGCAUCGAUUCAAGGGAGGUACAUUUAUCCUUAUUUGCACUUCAUUUGACCCUACGUGCUCCUACGUGUUAUGUGAAUAUGCAUGUCUAUUUCGCUUUCCUUGCCUUUCCUUAAUUCCUUGCAUUUAUUUCUUUUUUUUUACUUUUAUUUAAGUUGUUCUUUAUGGGGUAUGUGUACACCUCUUAGCUUGUAAUAGAUAGGGCUUGGAGAAGCAUUUGAUGAAGACCUAUUGAAGACGUGUGCCUAGCUAGCAAAUGUAAUAGAUUUAUUAGUUUGGUUGCUUUUUGUUGCUACAUGUUAAUUUGCUUUAUUAGGCCUUGCAUCUAGUCGAGCAUGCUAAAUGUUAUGUGCUAUGUGUUUGUGUUUGGCAUGUCUACUCGCUUUCAUAGCCUGAAUGAAUGUGAUGGAUGAAUGUACGUUUCCACUAGUCCAACGCUAGUCGGAAUUCAUAGAAUGGGCUAGUCCAACGCUAGACCCUUAGGGAUUUCCCCUCGUUAGUACAUGUUUGCAUGUUCAUUACAUGUCAUGCAUUCUUUUUAGUUUUUCAUUUUUGCAUGCCCCCGAACCCCUUUCCCUUCUUUUAGGUUUGCAUUUCAUGCUAGUUAUAGGGUCCAUUUGCCUGAGAAACCCCUUGGGUAAGGGAAACGAGCGAGUGUGGCUUCAAAAUAGCCUUAGCACGCUAGUUUUUCCUUCUAAUCAAAGGGAAAAUUAAAAUCACAAAAACUAGAGGUCAUUCCCGUACCCGACCUGAUGCAUUCCUCUAAGUUCAUGCAUUUUCAUAUCAUUUUCUCACUAUUUUCCUCACUAAUUAUAUAUUUUAAAUCCACAUGUCAUAUUCACACACUUAUUCACUUUCUUUACUUUUCACUUCACACAUUGCACCUAUUUUACUUAUAUAUUUACUAUUUUCAUUCACUUGCACACGAGCAUUUAUAUUUUUAUUCAUUUGCACACAAACACUUUCAAAUUGCACACAUGCACUUUUUUCUACACUUUGCACACUUACACUCUCAUUUGAGUCCUCAUUUGCAUCAUUCAUGAUUUUCUAUGAGGACUUUCCUUAUUGGCCGUCACGACUCGUGUGAAUGGGACCAAAAGCCUCAUAAGAAACAUUUCUUAGAUUUAGGAUUGCAUUUCUCAUUCAUUAGUCAAAUCCAAUUUGCAAUACAUACUUUGGGUAGAAAAUAUAGGAAAAUAAGGGUUAAAUCACGCAACUAGCCUUGGUUAGGUCGAAGGGGUGCCUUGGAUUUUUAUCCUUGCCUUCCCCUUCGUCAAAUGUGACUCCCGAACCUUUUUCUUUGUUUUACGUGGACUAGGAGUCGUUUAAAAAGGGUUUUCUUACUUUUUUCUUUAAAAAUUCUUUUUGGGUGACUUGGUACACCCUAACUCUAUACCAAGUGGCGACUCCAUUUUUCAUAUAAAAACCCUUUUUGAACUAUUUUUCUUGGGUCAAAUCGUCGCAUUUUCAAAAGUCCCAUUUAGACCCAUUUUUGUUUUUAUCAACAAAAUUCAUUUUUCCCAAAUCAAUAAAAUUCAACAAAAACAAUUAUUUUAUUUUUUCCAAAAAAGUGGGGCGCGACAGUUGGCGACUCCACUGGGGACUUCCUAAGUGGGUCCAAGCAUUUGAUUUAGCCAUUCUUUUCCUUUUUUCUACCCUUUUUAUGUAUAGCAUUUGGAUAUUAGGAUUGCAUUUUCCCUUUCUAGGACUUUUUGCCACGUACGCGCAUAUCAAACUACUCCCUCACUCACGUAUGUAUGAUUGGAUGAUUGGAUGUAUGAUUGUACUUGCUUUAUCUCGCGCUUUGCAUUUGCAUUUUGGGGGGGGUGUGUCACCCUUAGAGCCACGCGUUGGUUCUCGAUCCCUCCCCUCCAAAACGUAUACUAUCAUACGCGCAUACGCUUUAUUAUUCAUCCCUCUUUAUUUUCUUUUUAGUGGCUUGUCACGCCACUCCACCCUAUUAGGAUUAGGAGACCCACUUGGACGUGUGAUCGUGACACGACGUGUGCGUAGCACGAUCCAAUGGGUCACUCAAUCUUCCGCUUUAAACUUUGGGUUGAUAGCCUUUAGUUUUUAGUCGAAGGUUGAGGGUUUUUUAUAGAUUCACUCAAACAUGCAGCCGUAACACGACGUGUGCGUAGCGGUGUUUGGGGAAUCGCUCGAGCCACCGACAAAGGGCCUUGGGAUUGAUGACCCUUGGCCACGAGUCUGAAGGCUUGGGGACCUGAGCUUAUCGAGUCUAGAUGCAUUAGUGAACCCCAACCGCAUGCAUCCAUAUAGUUCACCUAGGGUAGAGUCUGCCUUGCCCUAGUAGGGACACCAUUCACGAGGGGAGGGAUCCCACCCUUUUCCUUAUUUACUUUUCCUACUUUUUAUAUCAUUUAAUUGUCCAACGUGUUAUGUGAUUAUGUGUUGAACUAACUUUCCUUGUCUCUUGCCUUUGCAUUCACAAACGUUAGGAAAUAAGAGGUCGGGCAUGACCUUCUUUUAGGACUACCCUUAUAGAUAGGCUAUUGCAUGUUUAAAAAUUGUGUAUAUUUCGUUCAUAAAUUAAUAAUGCCAUUUUUAGGCCUACCCUGGCAAUAAAGGGUUCCUUAGGUCAUGUCUCAUUUCAAAUUGCAUAUCUUACUGCUUUUAAUAAACUGGCAUCACGCAUCCACCCUAGGAAGGGAAUGCCAUUUAGGGGAUCCCGUGUUUAGGAAUAAGCCACCAUAUGUCUCGGAUACUUAAUCCAAGGAGACUUGCACGUUUACAUUUUUUGUAUCAUCCAAAAGGGUAGUGCACAAGGUAAGGUAGGAUCCGAUCAUUUUCAUAGAGCGAUCUUUGGAAUAUGAGCGUCUAAUAAUCACCUUUUGGCCACUUUAUCAAAAUUGGUAAAAAUCCCUUGCGUAAAGGACAUUAAUUUGAAGAAACCCAAAUAAUUCUUCACUAUUGAGACGAUAAAUCAAUGGAGGCCAAAUCUUGAUUUUAGGAGGCUCAUAGACUAAGGCAUUGUAAUGAUUUCUUGAAACUACCCAAUGGGUAGAGAACUCAAUCGAUUUUUGAACAAAUCAUCCAUUUUAUCCAAUCCAUUUUUGUCAAUUCAUUCAAUUUUAGUUCAAUCUAAUCAUUUUUGAAUAAAUUCAUUUCAUCCAAUUCAUUUGACCAAUUUACCCUUUUUAGGGUCAUCCGGUCAAUUUUUGAAUAAAUCAAUUCAUUUGACCAAUUUACCCUUUUCAGGGUCAUCCGGUCGAUUUUUGAAUAAAUCAUCAAUUCAUUUGACCAAUUUACCCUUUUAGGGAUUUGGCCGAUUUUUAAAAUAAAUCAUUAACUCCAUUUCAUCUCUUUGGCCAAUUUACCCAUUUUUAGGGCGAAAUCAAGUUGAUUUUGAAGAGAUCAUCAAUUUCAUUCAAUUCAGUUGACCAAGUCUAUCUAUUCGAUCAAUUUUGAAUAAAUCGUCAAUGUUAUCCAGCUUACCUAUUUUUAGGUAAAUCGGUCGAUUUUGAAUAAAUCACCAAUUUUAUCCAUUUGACUCGCUUUUUCCCCUUUAGGGUUCAUUGAAUAAAUUAAUCGAGACAUGGCAAUCCCUUUCACAAAUCAUUUUAUGUGUAGAUCAAAGCAAGCAAUCCGUUCCGACUUCGUCCUCAUGUUUUAGGGCAAAUGUCUCUUCUCACUCCAAGUGGCCAAAUUUUUCAAAUCAUUCCUCACACGAUCAGUCGAUCGGAUCCAUCAGGUAUUGUAUAGUGCCUGCUCUGGAGGACUGCAUUUUCAUGCUAGGCCUACCCUUGGCACAAAAGGGUUCCCCCAUAGGACAUGCAUCCGAAUUUUCUGAAUAUCUACUAACUCUUUUUUUUCUUUUCUUUUUCUUUGUUUUUAUUGGAAUAACUAAGCGAGGGUUAAAUCUAAAGGCAAUCUUUCAAAAAUUCUCAGGUAAUAUUUAAAUAUAGCUUCUCGUCGAAGCCCCAUCAUAACGCGAUCCCGUAGUCAAGCCCAGAGGAGUCGUGUAAACAUGAGUUCACAACCGGAACAGUCAGAUAGGUCUGCUACUACCGCUCAACCCGAGACUGCAAGUUUGGGGAUUCAGUUGACUGAGAUGCUUACCAAGUUUGGAGAGAUGGCGUCUGAGAUGGCCGCCCAAAGGAAGUUGAAUGAUGAGCUAAUUAGCAGCGGAGUUCAACCCGAACCUGUACCCGCCAGACAGCCUGAGCAAGAGCCGUUUGUCCUACCUUCGGCCCAUGCCACUGUUACUCCAUCAUUUCCUAUUGCACCCGAAGAAACUUUCACCUAUCCCACCACAAAUUUGCCAUACACUUACCCUCCUCAUCCUUCAUUUUUUCUUACUCACACGCGAGGUCCACCACCCCAAAUCACUUCAAAUAUACCACCUGAGCCACAUACCUUUUAUCACCCUGUUGCUGAGCCAUUCCUACCAGACCAUAUUGUUCAAACCAAGGCAGAAAUGGGGGAAUCUUCUGCUCCCGUUGAUAUAAAGCUGCUCAAACGCCUUGAUCGUUUUGAUGAGUUUAUGAGGAAGAGUCAGGGGUUGAACAAGCAAGGAGUCCUGGACUACGAUGAGCUUUGUCUCUUUCCCAAUAUGCAAUUGCCGAGGGUUCAAAACCCCUAAAUUUAACAAGUACGAUGGGACGGGUAAUCCCAAGACACACCUCCGACUAUUUGCUAACAAGUUGGGAAAGCCUGUAGACGACGAGAACCUGCCUCUAAGGUUGUUCCCGGAAAGUCUGGAGGGGGAUGCCCUCGACUGGUACUCAAAUUUGAAGUCCGAAGAAGUAAAAACCUGGAUUGACUUGUCCAAUGCUUUUGUAAGGCAAUAUGAGUAUAACUGCGAGCUGGCUCCGACACGAACCACGUUGGAAGGAACAAAAAGAAAACCCUCCGAGGAUCACAAGACUUAUGCCAAGAGGUGGAGGAAAAUAGCUGCCAAAGUCGAGCCACCGAUGACUGAGGACGAAAUCAUACGCACUUUCAUUAAGCACAUGAUCCCCGUAUUUUGAAGAAAUUUUCCGCAUGACUGGAUGCUCGUUCGCCGCCAUUGUCAAUAAACUUGAGGAGUGAUGACUUCGUGAAAGCUGGGAAGAUUGUUAAUGUCUCUGCCCUCAAAUCAGUUGGAUGCUUUGCAAGGACAGGGGACUAGUGGAAGAACCCGCAAUUAAAAAGAAAGAGGGGGAAACUGCCUUCAUGGAAUCAAAACCCUGUCCCAAGACCCAGACCUCGACAAUACCCUACCUACUCAAACCCUUACCCCUACUACUCAAAUCCUCAUCCUGUUUACCACACCAAUAUCACUCAUCCUCGACCUCGCCCAAAUUAUGCCAACCCGCCUACAACCCCUUUCCAAAUAUCUCAACCAAGCUUUCAACAAGCUCGUCCUCGGCCUCCUUACCACCAAAGAUUUCCCCCACCAAAUAGACCCACCUACAACUAUCCCCGACCCACUGAAACCUACAAUCAAAGCCGUACCCGAACCUUCACCAACCUAGGCAGGCCUUUGGACCAAUUGUAUGAGCAAUUGAAGGUUGCCAACAAAAUAGGCGUGAUUCCCCCUCCAACUUACCUUCAUGGCAUGCCUGCUGGGUACAAUCCACAUGCUAUUUGUGCCUAUCAUUCGGGAGUACCUGGCCACUCAACCGCCGAUUGCAGGGCACUUAAGCACAAAGUCCAAGACAUGAUCGAGGCAGGAGAAAUAGUGCUAAGGAAAAGAGGUGAACAAGGGCCGAUCAUAAGUACAAAUCCUUUUCCUGAACACCAGGACACCUUCGAGGCAUCCACCUCCAACGACGAAAUUUGAAAAUCCUGAAGGAGCUUUGCACAAUUUGGAUGGCCGAGUAUCUUCCCUCUCGAAGGGAAUUUCGGUAAAUCUAGGGGUUGUUAUUUACUAAAGUUCACAAAAACCAUUUCUUGCAUAUGUGAAUAGCUUCAUGAAAACAUCUUUCGCAAUUAAGUUUUUGUCUUGUUUUCGCUUUGAUUAGUUUUUCCAUUAAAUGCACAAUUUGUUUAUUUGAUUAUUGUCCUGAAUUUUAAUUCUUUUAAAUGGCCAAAGAUGAAAUUAUUUGACCCUUUGAAUAUCACUGUUCUGGAUUCCGAUAAUACCAUUCAUCAAAAUCCCUUCAUUAAGAAAUCCUUCAUUGAAAAAUCCCUUCUUUGAGAAGGUCAGAAAUCCCUUCGUUGAAAAAUCCCUUCUUUGAGAAGGCCAGAAAUCCCUUCGUUGAAAAAUCCCUUCUUUGAGAAGGCCAAAAAUCCCUUCAUUAAAAAUCCUUCAUUGAAAAAUCCCUUCAUUAAGAAAGCUCUUCAUUGAAAAUCUUUCGUUAAGAAAGCCUUUCAUCAAGAAAUCCCUCCUCUGCCAAGUUCUAAGCUGAUUGGUUAAAGCAGCGUCACCGACGAUUGAUUUUGAUGGAUGAAAAGCAGUUGAAUGUCGUAUGGCCUGUGUUCAUAACAAAAAGGUCCGCCACCGGUCCUUUAGAGAAGAAGGACAAUGAGUUAAAGCGAGAUUUGCCAAUGCAAGAUGAAAUCAAAGACGAAUUUGGCCUAAACUGGUAAGGCCAUUUGUCAUUCAAAAAGGUGCUACCGAGUGGAGCACUUAUCCUUGAAGAGAUGGACGACAAACAGUCUCUCAACCUAUCAACUCAGACAUGUGUAAGAAGUUUUAUUUCUGAUUAUGCAAAUUUCUUUUGGAAAUCAUGCAAGGAGCGAAACAAAAGUCAGGCCAUCUUCUUUUCCAAUCAAAACAUUUCAUCCCUAGUCAUCCCUUUUGAGCUAUCAGAACAAUAGUUUUUUCGUUUGGCAGCCCCUGAGGAUUGCAAGCCCCACACUGGGGCAAAUUCAUUGUGAACAGAGACGAUCCGAAAGAAAAGGUAAAACCCCACACUGGGGCAAAUUUAUCUUUGAAAGAAAGAUGGAAGACAAUAAACCCCACACCGGGGCAAAUUUAGCUUUGAAGAAAAAUGCAAAAAGUGAGGAAAAUGCAAUGAAAAUGCAAGGAGAGGAUUCAAUCGAACUGGGGCAAAUUUCCCUCAGUUUCGUUCGAAAUUGAAGAUGAUUUCAAAUGAUGCAAUCUCAGGUUAUUUCACCUCUCAUAAGAGCAAAUUGUUUUCAAGCCUUAACUUUUCUUGACAUACCCACCUGACCCCAUUACAAAAGCCCAAAGUCCUGGCUUUCGUCACUUGCAGUAUUUCUAUUGGAAAGUUUGCUAAUCAACUGACAAGUGAUGUCCAUAAUGCCUUCGCCUAAACUUCUAAGGGAAGUGCAUUUUACUGAUGCCAGAAAUCUUCAACUCAUACUCCUGAGUCGAUCAUGGUUGAGCUCUUUCAUUUGCGUCUUUAGGUGAAAACUCGAAAGGGCACCUCAAAAAAAAAAAAAAAAAAAAGAGAAAAGACAAAACGAAACAAAAAAGGGGGGCAACCUUGGUAAAAACCCGAAAGGGCACCAAGGUAGGAUUUUGCAGCGAGCGAGCACGAGGAAGAACAGCUGGUGAUUUGGUUCAUUUGGAUUUCUCCUCAUUUUGUCAUACUUCUGUCAAUUUUGAAUUCCAGAACAAAGAUAUCCAGAGAAUUGAAUAUGACAUUUGUUGGCCAAAACUGUGUCAUUUUGUAAAACAUUCUUUUGCAAAUACAUUCUUAGGAAGCUCAUUUUUCCAAAUUACUUGCAUUCAUGGCAUUUUUGUAGAAUUUAAGCACAAAUGGUUAUGUGUGCAUUCUUGUGCAUAUUUAUUCUUUCAUGACAUGUGAAUUUUCUUGCAUACUUCAUUCUUUAUCUUUGAAUUUUGUGAAUAACAAUCCCCGUGGUUUAUUCGAAGCAUACUUGGGUUCAGUCAUCUUUUGAAAAGGGUUAAGGUUCAACAAAGUCAGUUACGCAGACUUCACAAUAUGGCAAAGCACAUACCUGAUCAGUUUGUAAAUCGAAAAGCCUUAGGGUGAAAAAUCCAACUCAAUCGACUGCCGCAGCAAAAGUUGAUAAAGGCGUUGAAAGACUCAUGUUUACACGAUUCUCAAAGGAAAACGGAUCAAAUGAUGGUGGCAAUUUCUUUGUUUUUUUCUCUUUUGCAGAAAAAUUGCAUACACAGAUGAAAGUAAGCACACCUCGCACUGGAAUAGGUGUCGGAAAGAGUCCUCCGGUGAACAAAGGCAGAUUGAAAAUGUCGCAAGCAAAUUUCAUCAAAAAAUGCAACAGCAUGGCGAUACAGAAUCAACUCUGGACUCACAUUGCAAAAAUUCAUCAUACUGAGGCAAAUUAAUUUUUUGGAAAGAUUUUCAAAAGUCAAAAAAAAAAAAAAAAGGAAAAAUCAUCAAUCAAAAAUCAAACACAGAUUUUAUCACGGCAGGCUCGGGUUUAAUCCACUGACCGAUUGUCAAAAGCAUUUUCGGGUCAGUCCCAUGAUCAAAAGCAUUUUCGGGUCAGUCCCAUGAUCAAAGCAUUUUCGGGUCAGUCCCAUGAUCAAGAUUUUCGGGUCAGUCCCAUGACCAAAAGCAUUUUCGGGUCAGUCCCGCGAUCAAAAGCAUUUUCGGGUCAGUCCAUGAUCAAAAGCAUUUUCGGGUCAGUCCCAUGAUCAAAAGCUUAUUCGGGUCAGUCCCAUGAUCAAAAGCUUUUCGGGUCAGUCCCACGAUCAAAAGCAUUUUCGGGUCAGUCCCAUGAUCAAAAGCAUUUUCGGGUCAGUCCCACGAUUCAAAGCUUAUUCGGGACAGUCCCGCAAUUCAAAACUUAUUCGGGUCAGUCCCGCGAUUCAAAGCCUGUUCGGGUCAGUCCCGCGAUUAAAAUCUUAUUCGGGUCAGUCCCGCGAUUCAAAGCUUAUUCGGGUCAGUCCCGCGAUUAAAGCUUGUUCGGACCAGUCCCAUGAUUUGAAUUUCCUUCUCUAGUCAGUCCCGUCUUUAAAUUUCGUUCGGGUCAAUCCCGCUUUAAAUUUCCUGUCUAAGUCAAUUCCAUUUUAAGUUUGUCAAAAGGGGUAAAUCCUCAUUUCUAGAGUGUCAGUCGUUUAAGUUUAAUGCAGCCAAAUAACACAGGUAAUUAUUUGGUGUCUACUUCUUUGUCUCAAGUUUUUUCAAAACUCAGACAAAGAGGGGCAAACUGUAGACACCAAAUUUUUGGUGUUUUAUUAUUUAUUUAUUUACUAUUCGUUUUUUAUUUGUUCUAUUUUUAUUUGUCACAAUUAGUUUUAUUUACUUUUAGUUUUAGUUAUUUUAGCCAUUUUAGCGUAGAAUUUCUCAAAGGAAAAAAGAAAAGCGUUCAAAAAAUAUGUUUUAGUUGUUUUAGAUUUAGUUUCAUUAUUUAAAAAUGAAAAUGAAAAAAAAGGAAAAUGGAAUUUGCAUUUUGUUGUUUCUAGUUUAUUUAUUCUUUAUCCAAUGUUAAUUGUUUUGUUAUUUCUUUUUAUUAUUAUUAAUUUUGUUUUAAUUAAUCUAAAAUAAAAAAAAUAAAAAAAUAAAAAAAAAAAUAAAAAAAAAAUCACAAUUCUAUUUCUGCCGAAUCCAUUUCCACUUCACAUUCUAGUAUUUUCUAUCCUUAGUGCCGGUUUAUAUCACCACGACCUCGCACCACCAAUUCCAUUUUUUUUCCUCGGCAUCAAUACAUCCCAAAACCACAACAAGAUUUUCCAUCUGCCUCGUGAUCAUCGACAGGGAGAGAGAGAGAGUGAGCUGCAAUCAGCAAGCCAUGAGGACGAGAGGAAACCAGAGAAAGGGUGGAGUGAGUUGCGGCCUUGAGCUGUCCGAGAGAGGGUGAGAGCAAGAGGAGAAACCGCGGCUGCAAAAUUUCCUGGUUCUGUCCGAAAGCUAGAGUGAAGCCAGGGAGAAACCGUGAGCAAGUUUCACCAUUCUGCACUUCCAUUUCUACCAGCUGCAAUCAAGUUUCCCAGCCGCAACCACCACCAGUUCCAUCAUCUGCCACAGCCCAAGUAAACCUGUAUUUCAGCCGUGCGUGAGAGCCGAGAGGAAGAAAAAUUUUCAGACUUUCUGUGCAAGAGCUUAGCUUGCUGUGAGGUAAUUUCUGGACUUUUUAGGUUGAUUACUAGUGGAGGAAACUAUAUGCGAGUUGCAUGUGAGGCUUGUACAGUCGGUGGAUAGAAAUCAAGCCAUUAGGAAAUUUCUGUUUUGGCUAAGUGUUGCUGCCGAGAAACUGAUGAGAGAACGCAGCUGUAUUUCUGUUUUUCUAGGACAAUCUGAGCACCUAAGUGUACUUAGCCGAAUGAAAUUGUGAUGAUUAAGACCAUGCAUGUUAAAUUGUGCAUUCGGAUGAUGUUAUGAAGCAUGCAGAAAUUCUGUUUUGGCUAAAUGUCUCUGCCGAUGAACUAAUUUGGGACAUGUAAUUUUAAUUCUGACUCCAUGUGAUAAUCUGAGCUUAAUUGAGGAUCCAAUUUGAUAGAUAACCUUUUUAUUUGGUGUUGCAUGUGAACCUUAUGGCCAGGAAUCUGAUUGCAUGGCUGGAAUUUUUUUUAUUAGAAGUUGUUGGACUGCUAAACACUUUUCCAGCUUAGCCGAUGGAGUUGUUUUGGGAGUUGUAUGGGUAUUUUAGAAUGAGAUUUGCUGGAAAGUGUUUGAUUCUCACUGGGUUGUGUGUUUAGCUAACUAAAUGCUGGAUGAUUAAGCCCUGCAUGAGAUUAAUUAGCUGUGUGUAAACCAGAAAUUUGAAUGAAACAAAAAAAAAAAAAAUCUGCUGCAUGCAUGUCAUCCGUAAAUAGUUGAACAAAUUCUGGAAUUUUGGAUACAUUUUGUUGGUGAGACCCUGUUUUGAACUGGAAUUGAUAAUGACUUCAUUUAUUAGUCUUGCAUGUUAGUUUUGGGUACAUAAUUUAGUGUUUCAGCCGAGGAAAUUCGGUUUAAAGAUGGACUAAAGCUGCUGGAAUUUUUCCAGUGUAGCCGAGUGAAGAAGAAAAGAAUUUUCCAGUUUGUUUUUGCGAAUUCUGGGUUCUUAUUCAUGUUUGGGGGGCAAAUUCCUUGUAUUUGGUCUGUAAAUGACAAAUUGGGAGAACUGAUUUGAGUGUUUGCAUGCAAAGAUGGCUGAGCUAAGAUAAAAGGAGUAAAAAGCUGCUGCAUCUUUUUGUCUUUUUGUUUUCUUUUCCAUGGCUGUUUAAGGGACCCUUACGUUUAAAUUGCUUGUUAAAUCUGGUUUUAAGGAGAAGGAAUGGAAUGAUUUGAUGUUAAGUUUACGUUUGAGUCCUUAAAACACUUGAGCUAUGAUUAAACACCAUGCUGAAAAAUAUUUGAUCACGGUUGUGAUUAAGAAGCUUGAGCUUGAGAAGAAAGUGCAGCAGUCUUCGGUUGCUAGAGUAUGUGAAGUAAUUGCAGAAACUUGUUUCAUGGCUAUUGCAUAGAACUUGCAUGUUUUUUUCCUUCUAAGUUUUCUACCUGUUGAGGCGAUGGUAAUGACAUAGUUUGCAGCUUAGUUAAAGCUAUGUAUGUGAACUUGAAAUCUGAUUUUUUGGAAAAUAAGAUGUGAGUUUGAGUUGGGUUUCGUUUGAGCAAGCAUGAGAGAAAAUAUUGCAGAAACUCACUUUGAAUUUGAUUUACUUGCUUGUUUGGUUGUUAGAUUCAUGCUUUAAUGUUUUGGUUAGAAGAUUUUUCGAUCAAAAUGGUGUUAAGGUGAGAAAAUGAAAGUCACGGUUGUCUUCUGGGUUGCCGAAAGCUUUCAGCAGAAAUUUCUGCUGCAGAAUGUUGUUUCUCAUGUUGAUUUUCACGUAGCUUGCAUGAAAACUGCAUGAAUUAAUUUCUGAAAAUUGCACUUUGAUCCCAAGUCUCCCCUUGUUCCACUAUGGCCCAAUUACAUUCCAUGUUCUUGCAAUUAGGUCCUAAGAUAUUUGCAUUUGAAUCAUUAUUUGCCUUUUCUUUUGCCCUUGAACCCUGGAAGUUCCUAAAAGUGUUUGUUUAAGCUUGAAUGCUUGGCUAGUGUUCAUAAUUGAAUCUUUGAUAACAUUAAUGUUUCAAUUCAAUUACUUGCUUGACUUCAUUGGUUACCAUGUUUUGCUAAGGUGAUACUUAAGGCAAGAGUUUAAGAACUUUGUGUUCAAAUGAGCUUGUGUUCGCCUUUCUUUUGAAUUUUCUGAAAUAAUUUGGCUUUGGCCUUUUCUUGCUCUUGGAAUUUCAAAGUUUCUAAGAUGUUCCCAUUGGCUUUGAAUGGUUGAUUAAUUUCUUGCAAUUGAGUCCUAAAGUAUUUGCAAUCUGAACCAUGACUUGACUUUUUCAUCACUCUUGAACCUUUAAAGUUCUUAAAUGUUCUAAUUGGCUCACAUGAUUGAUUAAUGUUUGCAAUUGGAUCCCUUUUACAUGAUAAUUCGCUUCGGUAUGUUUUUACGUGAAUUGUGGACAAAUUUCAAUGGAUAAUUCCCAAUGUCAUGAAAGCUUAAUAAUCUUGGAAGAAUUCAUAGUCUUGGUUUCAUUUGAUUCAGUUUUCUUAGAUAAUUUUGUUAUUUAAUCACAAUAAAUAAUUUCUGUGAUAGUUUUUCUCUUUUGUGAUUUUUGCAUUUGAUUGUGAUGGAUUCCAUCGUAAGCAUUUCAAUUUAGCACUCCACUUUAGAUUCUUGAGACCUUUUAUUUAAGACCGAGUUUUGCUUGCAUGUGCAUGAUCUAUUCCAUAUUUAAUUUUCGUUUCAUGCUUAAUUUCCACUUUUGUGUUUAAUGGUUGUUUCAUGUGAUUAUUUGAUAAUUAAAGUGGUACCUUGACCUUUUUAUUAUUUUGGAGGGUAAUUUAAUAAUUUCACUUCAUUAGAGCAUCGAUUCAAGGGAGGUACAUUCUAUCCCUUAUUUGCACUUCAUUUGACCCUACGUGCUCCUACGUGUUAUGUGGAAUAUGCAUGUCUAUUUUGCUUUUCCUUGCCUUUCUUAAUUCCUUGCAUUUAUUUCAUUUAUUUUUACUUUUAUUUAAGUUGUUCUUUAUGGGGUAUGUGUACACCUCUUAGCUUGUAAUAGAUAGGCUUGGAGAAGCAUUUUGAUGAAGACCUUAUUGAAGACGUGUGCCUAGCUAGCAAAUGUAAUAGAUUUAUUAGUUUGGUUGCUUACCUUUGUUGCUACAUGUUAAUUUGCUUUAUAGGCCCUUGCAUCUAGUCGAGCAUGCUAAAUGUUAUGUGCUAUGUGUUUACGAACGUUUGGCAUGUCUACUAGCUUUCUGUAGUGUAGAUGAAUGGAAUGGAUGAAUGUACGUUUCCACUAGUCCAACGCUAGUCGGAAUUCAAAUAGAAUGGGCUAGUCCAACGCUAGACCCUUAGGGAUUUCCCCUCGUUAGUACAUGUUUGUAUGUUCAUUACAUGUCAUGCAUUCUUUUUAGUUUUGUCAUUUUUUGCAUGCCCCCGAUUCCCUUUCCCUUCAUUUUAGGCCUUUGCAUUUCAUGCUAGUUUUAUAGGGUCCAUUUGCCUGAGAAACCCCCUUGGGUAAGGGAAACGAGCGAGUGUGGCUUCAAAAUAGCCUUAGCACGCUAGUUUUUCCUUCUAAUCAAAGGGAAAAUUAAAAUCACAAAAACUAGAGUCAUUCCCGUACCCGACCUGAUGCAUUCCUCUAAGUUCAUGCAUUUUCAUAUCAUUUUCUCACUAUUUUCCUCACUAAUUAUAUAUUUUAAAUCCACAUGUCAUAUUCACACACUUAUUCACUUUCUUUACUUUUCACUUCACACAUUGCACCUAUUUUACUUAUAUAUUUACUAUUUUCAUUCACUUGCACACGAGCAUUUAUAUUUUUAUUCAUUUGCACACAAACACUUUCAAAUUGCACACAUGCACUUUUUCUACACUUUGCCACACUUACACUCUCAUUUGAGUCCUCAUUUGCAUCAUUCAUGAUUUUCUAUGAGGACUUUCCUUAUUGGCCGUCACGACUCGUGUGAAUGGGACCAAAAGCCUCAUAAGAGACAUUUCUUAGAUUUAGGAUUACAUUUCUCAUUCAUUAGUCAAAUCCAAUUUGCAAUACAUACUUUGGGUAGAAAAUAUAGGAAAAUAAGGGUUAAAUCACGCAACUAGCCUUGGUUAGGUCGAAGGGGUGCCUUGGAUUUUUAUCCUUGCCUUCCCCUUCGUCAAAUGUGACUCCCGAACCUUUUUCUUUGUUUUACGUGGACUAGGAGUCGUUUAAAAAGGGUUUUUCUUACUUUUUUCUUUAAAAAUUUCAUUUUUUUGGGUGACUUGGUACACCCUAACUCUAUACCAAGUGGCGACUCCAUUUUUCAUAUAAAAACCCUUUUUGAACUAUUUUUCUUGGGUCAAAUCGUCGCAUUUUCAAAAGUCCCAUUUAGACCCAUUUUUGUUUUUAUCAACAAAAUUCAUUUUUCCCAAAUCAAUAAAUUCAACAAAAAACAAUUAUUUUAUUUUUCCAAAAAAGUGGGGCGCGACAUAUAAGUUCAUCUUAAAGUAUAGAGAUAUGAAAUAAUCACUUACUUGAUAACCAGGAUAACUUCAAAUUCAUCUCUCGGUCCUUGAAUCUUCUCCUAAACCAAACAAAUUCAAUUUGUAAGAUACCUUUGGUAAACCUAAGAUGUGAUUCAGUGCAAGAUUAGCUAAUCAAAUAACCAACUCCACAUACGGCAGCCUACUUAGAUUUUCAGCACCGAUAAUGCUCAGUUGAACUACCAUAACUUAAGUUAUAUAUCUUUUUUAAAAAAGUUACAAAAAUUCGCGCUAUUAGAAACUAAACUUGAAGUGCUAAAAAUCUUUUUAAAAAAAAAACACUCGGAAAUAGUCACAAGUCAAUAUAGUUUUGAAUCCUAAGCUGUGCAAGUCGGAUUUUUAGCCAACUUUGCAAAUUUUUUGGCAUCAAUAGGCAGCAAACUAGAGAUUGAAUUUUAUACCGUUGAAAAGAUCAACAAAUAUAGCUUCCAACGCAAUUGAUGACACUGAAUUUUUGACAUUCCUGCACCUAGGUAUGAUCGAUUUCUCACAACUGCGCAAGGGUGCCUAUUAGUUACAAAAUUGAUUAAACUCAACUCUUCUUAGCUACAAUUUGUCCAGAAUACCUUCACUUUGCAUCCCAAAUCUUUGGCUAUAGAUUCAACAGCAAGAGAUAUAAGAAACACACAAAACCUUCUUCUUAAUCUUACAAAUUAAACUCAUGAAAUUUUAAAUUACGAAUUUCUUACCUAAAAUCACCUUAAGGAGCUUGAAUUUGAUGAUUCCCUUCUGUGCUCUAAGUCUCUCCUAAAGGUCUCUGUUUCUAGUUGUUCAACUAUGACGGUAGAAGUAACAAUAGCAGCAAGCAACCAGUGGUUAGAUAUACAUGGACUUUUUGCACUUUGAGCCUUCAAUUAUUCUUAAAAUUUCUAACCACACCCUAAGUAAUUUAAAUUUUAAAUUACUUAGGUAUUGGGGACUUAGGUAUUACACAAGCAAAACAAGAACAAAUUAUUUUAAACAUAGACAAAAAACUAUUAUUAAUAAAUUAAUGUCAGUUAUAACUAAAUUCACAAAUGUGCUAAGAUUUGUGGUGCAUUUGAUAAAACUGAAGCUUGAAAACUGAGGUCUGAGAUCCAAAAUCUGAAGUUUAAAUCCAUUAAAUUAUUGAAUUAUUAAGUACUAAAUCUAAUACAUUUGAGUGUAUAUCACAUUAAGUGAUAAGUGAAUAGCGUAUAACUUAUUUUUAGAAGCAAAUUUUGCUUAGAAAAUUCAAUACCACUUAAUUAAUUCAGAUGUUCAAUAUUUUGUUAUCAAACGCAUAUGAACAUAUUAAGAUCUGAAUUCAUUAAGUUUAAGUGUUGAAUUGGAUUAUCAAAUAAGACUUUGGUGAUGUAGGAAGAUGAUAUACAAAGAUGAACUUGACAUUCUUUUUUUUUUUUUCAAAUUUUUCCAGAGGGAUGAGUUUUAAAAAAUGGAGAGAAAAGCAAGAUUUAAAACCAGGACAUUCUUUAAUUAUUAUGGUUUUGAGAAAGAAUAGGCACAAAACCAACAAGACUUGGUUGUGAGAGUCAUUGUGCAAAUUGGAGAAGUUAAACAAUGAACUCUUCAAAAAGAAAACAUUUUCAAGAAGUGGCAGCCUAUACUUUUGUGAAAAAAUUUCAUAAGAGAAGCUUGCUACAUGCUCACUUUUGCUUAAUCUUGAAGCCUUAGUAUAAAAUAUUCAAACGAAUAUGAUAAAAUAUAUAAGCAAUGUUCUAGAUAAAGACCUUGUUGUUACUGGAUUUCAAAACCUGAUUUUAGAUUUUGAUUUUGAUUUUGAUUUGGCAAAGCUAAUUUUUUUAUUCUCAACUAUAAAAAUGAAUAAAAAAAAAACCAAAAAAAAAUCUCCAAACCUCUCUCUUUCUCUUUUCUAUUGUUUUGACUUUUGGUUUGUGUAUUCCUUCAAACAAGCACCUUUGAUAAAAUUGAAAUCUGAAAUCUAAAUCUAUUAAUUUAUUGAAUUGUUAAGUAUUAAAUCAAAUGCAUUUAAGUGUAUAUUAUAUUUAGUAAUAAGUGAAUAGCUUAUCACUUAUUUUUGAACGCAAAUUUUGCCUAGAAAAUUCAAUGUCACUUAAUUAAUUUAAAUGUCCAAUUUUUUAUUAUCAAACACAUUUGAACAUAUUAAGAUCUAAAUCCAUUAAAUUUAAGUGCUGAAUUGAGUUAUCAAACAGGGCCUAAGACAUGUUUUUUAUCAUCAAAUCCAAUCAUGAGCCAAUCCAAUUUUUCAAAUCCACAAAAUUUAUUCAAAUUUCAGAAGAACUAAAAAAUAAAUUAAGAAAGUUAAAAGAACACAGGAAAUAGAUGUCACAUUCUCACGUGUUGAAUUAAGACCUACCACUACUAAGUUGCAGCCCUGAUGACUUUUGAGUUUUGAUGUUAUUUUCUUUUUCUGUGUCUAAUUGUAUUGGGAUCAGGUGUUCGACAAAAGAAUCUCUGUAUUUCGGAUGGAAAGUGAAAAUUCCAUCUCCCUUACUCAUCUUUUUUUUUUUUUUUUUAUUAUUUUAUAAAAAUUUCGGCAGAGUUUCCCCUUAAAAAAGGACGAAACUCCCUGCCAUCAAACCACAAUUUGACAAUAAAUUUACAAGCUAGUGAAAGUUUAAGCAUUUAAAAACUGAAAUUAAGAUUAAAUCUUCAUUUUUCCAUAUCAGGAUGUCUUCCAGUGAAUCUGAAGGAUGAUCUUUGAAGAUUUUAGCAGUCAAUCUUCCUCCCUUGAUGUCCUUCUAACCGCCAUUUUCACCUUCAUUGGCCUUUUCUGCUUCUUAUUCCAAUUCAUGCCAGACACCGUGUACGAAACGUAGGAAAUCCUAAUCGAUCUAAUCUAAUAGCCCCCCUAACCAAUUGCGGCAAUUCUGAGAAUGUAUUAAACACAUGACCUGCACUAGAAUCAGCACCAAAAUUUGCCAAAUGAUCUGCAGGUGCGUUUGCUUCCCUGUAGCAGUGUGUGAUCGAUGUGAAAUAUUGCUUGAACAUCAUCAACUCAUCCAGAUCUCUCUGUAAACGCCAAGGACAAGCACUAGUCCCUUGAACAAUGUGACAAGCACUAAUCUCCCUUACUCAUCUGAUUCCUCAGUUAACUUCUUUUUCUUUUUCUUUUUUUUUUUUGGGUUUUCUACUUCCCUUUUCCUUUUCUUCUAUCUUUGGGCUACUAAAUUUAUUUAGGCGUGGCUGUGGUGGUCUUUGGAGGAGUUUGGGGAGGCUUCAUGGUGGUUGUCGGACAGUUGUUUGGUGGUGAAGUUGAAAAAGAUGGUGGAAGAAUUUUCUUUUUUUCGAUUAAUUAGUUCACAUCAGUACUUGAGCGUAUUAUUUUUUUCUACUUUUUUUUAAUUUAGUUAAUGGAGAGGUGAUCAAAUUGUGGAAAUAUCGCGAAACUAUUUAUACAAUAAUAAAAGGAGAGAGAUGACGGUUAGGUUAAACAUUUUGUAUCAUUUUGUAUCAUUUUUAAUUUUUCCCUUAAAAAAUUAAUUUUUAUCCUACUGCCUAGUCACAUUUGCUAAUAUAUCUUUCAUAAUUCCCUUAAAUAUUGCAACUAUCAAAUUAACUGUAAUUGUAUUAGAGAAAAAAAACUAAUAAAUUGCAAUUAUUUUCAUGAAGAAUUUAUAUAAAAUUUAAUUUUGUAAAAACAAAAUUAAUAUAUUCAUAAAAGUUAAUAAUUAUUUCUAAACUGCACACACAUUGGGUCUGCCUCCAACACUAGUUUUGCUAUAUAUACAGUUUGAGCAGGGUUUGGUGUAAAAAAAAGUGCCAUUAUUUGUUUUGUCAAAUAUACCCUUCCAAUAUUUACUAUUAUCUACCCACAUCUAAAUCUGUUGAACUUCCCACCCCUACAUAACUACCAGUAUAAUAAACACACACAAACAUAGAUUCAUAUCACCCUUUUUAGCCUAAAAAGACUUUCAAUGAAGUAAUAACUACUAACAAUUUCCUAUCCAAAAAAAAUGAAAAAAAGAUGAAAAACACAAAUUUUCCAUCCAUAUUUCUAAAACAAAACCUCCAACAACUAUUAAAAAUUUUAAUAUAUUUUAAAAAAAAUUUCCUUUUAAAAUUUUCUGUCAUUUCAUAGAUUUCCUAUACCCUUCAUGUUUUAAACUUUUUAUGACCCACUUGUCCUUCUUUCUCUCAUCCACUUUCUUUUCUUUCUCUCAAUGAUAUCUCUACAAUAAUAAAGCGGGAACAGGUAAUUUGAUGUAAUCAGUUAUCACUUUUAGAAUUCCUCUUUACCCUUCAAAUAUCUUCUCACCAACUAACAUCAUACAACCAAUGAAAUACAUGUUUAUUACUUAAACAUAACUGCUUAUAGAUAAUUGCUUGAUUUAAUUUUUGUUUGAUUUUUAAGAUUUUGUUUGUAUUAACUUUUUUAAUUUACUACUACUAGAUUUUAUUGUCAAAUAAUGAAUCUAUAUUCAUUAGUUUAACAGAAGAUUUUUUUAAUCACUAGCAUACACAUCGAGUGUGUCAAUCACUAGUCUUACUAUAUAUAAAGUGUUGGUGAAAACAAAUUGUGUCAUUUAAUGUAUUGCCUAAUCUAUCUUAUUUCUAAAGAGAAUUACAUCAUUUUAACUACCCACCUCCCAACAAUUACUCCAUGCGUGUUGAAUUAACCACCACUUUCCUAACAAAAAACUACUCUUUUUUUAAAAUGGGUAUAAUAGUUUAACUAUUAUUUUUCAACAAAAAAUAAUACUAAUUGCUUUUGAUAUCUUUUUAUUAGUAACACACACAUUGGAUUUGCCUUAACCACUAGUAUAUAAAGGGAGAGUAAGGGGUUUGGAGUAAAUAUUUAGGGAUAAUUGCAUAAACCUCCCCUGAGGUUUCUGACAUUUGCACUGACCUCCCUUGUGGUUUGAAAAAUUACACUGACCUCCCCUGAGGUUACUAAUCCUUUGCAAAUUUAGUCCAAACGAUUAAAAUAUUAUUUUAGGGAGUGAAAUUAGAAUUUUGUACCAGAUUUGCCCUUUGUGCUACAUGUCCAAUGAAUGACAAAGUACUAUAAAUCAAUUAACAAUUAAUAAACUUUAAGGAGUAUAAUUUAUGAGUAAACACGCAUUACUCAUUUAAAAUACCGACUCUUUACGGGUAUUUUACUUUUAAACAUUUAAUUUGUGAUAAAUAUAUCAAUAUUUGUAAGUAAAAUUCAAAAAGUAUUACAGUAAUAUUCUUGCAAAAAGGAAAUCGGUAGGUUAUUUAUUUAAUAUAAAUUAAAUAUUUUUUUUAAAAAAAGAAAUGACCCAUAAAGUAUUAAUUUUUUAUGGUUUUCAUCCAUUACAUGAGUAAAGUAUUCGCUCUUUAUGUGCAUUUUAUUCAUUUAAUUUAUGUUAAAUAUAUAAAUGUUUGUAACUAAAAUUGAAAAAGUGUUAUAUUAAUAUUUUUACAGAAGAGAGAUUGGUAGGUUUUGUAUUUAACAAAAAUUAAAUAUUUGAAAGUAAAUACAAAUCUGAAUUUGAGCGUAAAUAUUUGUAUUAAAAUUAAAUAUUUGAAAGUAAAUAUACCGUAAAGAACCGGUAUUUUAAAUAGUUACCGGUUCUUUAUGGGCAAACAAGCAUUACUUAUUUAAAGUACCGGCUUUUUACGGGUAUUUUACUUUCAAACAUUUAAUUUAUGAUAAAUAUAUCAAUGUUUGUAAGUAAAAUUCAAAAAGUGUUACAGUAAUAUUCUUGCAAAAAGGAAAUCGGUAGGUUAUUUAUUUAAUAUAAAUUAAAUAUUUAAAAAAGAAAUGGCCCAUAAAGUAUUAAUUCUUUAUGACUUUCAUCUAUUACAUGAGUAAAUUAUUGGCUCUUUAUGGGCAUUUUAUUCUGAAUCAUUUAAUUUAUGUUAAAUACAUAAAUAUUUGUAACUAAAAUUGAAAAAGUGUUAUAUUAAUAUUUUUACGGAAGAGAGAUUUGUAGUUUUUGUAUUUAACAAAAAUUAAAUAUUUGAAAGUAAAUAUAAAUCUGUAUUUGAGCGUAAAUAUUUGUAUUAAAUUAAAUGUUUGAAAGUAAAAUACCCAUAAAGAGCCGGUACUUUAAAUAGGUAAUGUGUAUUUGCCUAUAAACUAUACUCCUUAAAGUUUAUUAAUUGUUAAUUGAUUUGUAGUACUUUGUCAUUCAUUGGAUAUGUAGUACAAAGGACAAAUUUGGUAAAAAAAAUUCUAAUUUCACUCCCUAAAACAAUAUUUUAAUCGUUUGGACUGAAUUUGCAAAGGAUUAGUAACCUCAGGGGAGGUCAGUGUAAUUUUUCAAACCACAGGGGAGGUCAGUGCACAUGUCAGAAACCUCAGGGGAGGUUUCUGCAAUUAUCCCAAAUAUUUAUUGUCACUUUACGAACUUCCUUUUUUGCCCUUAUAAAAAUUAUUCUUACUUUAAAUACCUACACAUAUGUUGUCAAGAUAACUCCUCAUGACUAAUUUUUAUUUUUAACUAUUUAAAUAUAUGUUUUCAACAUAACUAACCCUAAACAUUACAACUACCAAUAUAGGAUUAUUGUAUGAAAAAAAUUUGAAAGAUUAAAGUUUCUUUUAGUAAUAAAAAUUUUAUAUAAAUAUAUGGCCAUAAAUAUUGUGUAUUUUUUGAUUGUACACGCAUUGAAUGUACAUAAAGCAUUGGUAUACAUAUAGCAAGAGCGAGGAGUUGGUGUAAACUUUUUGUAUGACUUUAUGUUCUUCUUAAAUUGCCCUUGAUAACUAUACACUUUCAACUUCCAAUAUAUCCUUCUUCCGACUAAUAUGUAUAUCUUAUUAUUUUAUUUCUCAAUUUAUUUAGUAAAUAUUAAUUUUUAUCAGCAACUAUCAAUCGCGAUUAUGAAUUACUACUAAAAUUAAUAAAUUAUUUGUUUAUAUAUAUUUUAUUUUAGUGAAUUUUCUAUAUAUUUACUAUUACAACAUAAAAUUAAUUCUCUUGAAAAUGAUUUCAAAUGUAGUCAAAAAAUUUGACACAAAUUUCUUUUAUUAGUUGCAUGCACAUUCGUGUGUAUCUUGAACAUUGGUUGGCAAUAUGGUUAAUUGUACUAAAUACGCUCAAAUUGGAAAUAUUGGGGACCGGAUAUUUAAAAAAGAAAAAAAACUUAAGGAUGACAAGCUCACAUUUGGCGAAUCAAAAGCGCACAUGUGAUGUGACCAACUUUCAAGACCAAAACUGCAUUUUUCCGUGAUAGAAAUUGUUGAAAAAAAAAACACUAAGAUGACUUAUUCCCUAAAAGAGUCCAUCUAAAAAAAAAAAAACUCCAAAAUCACGACAUUCUUAGAUACAAACAUGAAAAUCCUUACAAUCAAUAACUUGGGUUAUUCAUUAAUUUGUUUCUAUGUUAUACAUUGUUUAGUAUAGGAUUUUCCUUCCCGAGUUAAAAACUCCUUUUUGCGUGUAAACUAAAAACAAAAUGGGCGAAAACUGAUAUCCAAUGUACCAAAUCACUAAUUUUCAACGUGGAAAGGGAAAUGGAGGGCCUGGGCUUUGUUAAUUUUUUAGUAAAGGGCUAAUGAAAAGGUAAUUAGUCCGUGUGCAGGAGAUACAGCCAAAGCCAAUCAUAUUGCUAACCAAAAAACAAAGCAAGACAGAAAGGUUGAAAAAUAACAAGUACUGAUACAGUGCUAAUGAUGCAGAUAAGAGAUUGAAUUCCCAAUCUCAACUACCACAAAAUUGAAUAAUUCCCAACAUGUGGGCGAACCUUUGCAUUUUAAAGUCUUCCACCAACAGAACAAAGACAAAAUAACAGUCUUGCAAAUUGCAACGAGAAAGUGAGAAACGAAGAAAGAGCCUCGCCUACAAUACUUGACUAUUUUCAAAUAAUGAGAAAGUUAACCUCGAACAAAAUUCGUUCAAGAUCCAAAUUUGAUCUCAGAGUGAAUAGAUUAGAAGACACAAUAAUGGACAUAUCCUCCAGUAGUAGCACUAGUUGCUUUGAUUCCUCUCUAGAUUAUCUGGGCUGGUUGGACAAGGCCUUCCAAUAUAAGUUCCAUUCUGAUCUAAAGAUUUGGGACCUGAAGAUCGGGUUGACAUAUUACAAAGCUUUGACCUGUAUCUGAGAAACUCUAGGAGGAGGAGGAACCAUGAGACCUGUUCGGAACAAGAUGUGGAGGAGAAGGAUGUUACUUCUUUCAGAAUUCAGAACCUGAUUAUCAGAAGAAUGCAAGAUCUUGAAUUUGCCUGCAGCAAAUUAUUUAUUCAUGCUAGUUUACCAGGUAUACUUAAGAUGAAAGGAGAGCUCACCAUAUUCCGGAAAGAAAUCAAGUUGUUUUUCAAGACAGAUAUCAACGAAUCGUGUAUCAACUUUCUGUUGGACUAUUAUUGGCUGAGGGAUCCAGGACUAGUUAUUGAUUUCAUUGAUUUGGUUUCAAAGAUUCUGAUGGAACUUCUCCUCAAAAGUCAGAUAUCCCAUUUCAAGACCCUUGAAGAGAAGCUAAUGUUCUUGAAUAGUUUCAUUCGCUUUGCCCUGCUACACGGUGUCGACGGUCAGCAAUUGAUAGAUCUCUUGGUUCACGUUGAAGUGGUGGCUAUCAAUGCAUUACGCCUGAUUUGUACACGCUGGUUUGACAGAGAUGAUGAAGAAGUAUGCGAUGAAAUGGGACUUCAAAUUUCUCGACUACUACAUGAGAAGAUUAAUCCCACUCCCAGAGAUGAUGAAGAAGUAUACAAUAAAAUCGGACUUCAAAUUUCUCAACUAAUACGUGAGAAGAUUAAUCCCAGUGAUCCCCAAGUCCGAGAAACUUAUAUCCAUGUCCUGACUGCUUCAAAGUUAUCAAGAUCAUCAGACACUUCAGCUCUAGAGAAAAAUAAGCAUCUAGUAGCUGACUUUAUGGAUUAUCUCAUUCACAAUUUUAUGGAGCUACUAGAAUCUUGUACCAGUAUUUUGGUUCCGAUUAUGAAUCAAAUGCUAAAACUCCAUGAUGGGCUGAGAUUCCUAACAAUCCUUUUCAGGCAUCAGGAGAAGUUCAAAGAGCUACCCCAUGGAAUGAAGACUCUUAUUGGAGUUGUAGUCUGUGAUGCAGCAAUUGUAAUUUUCUCCCUUUCUGUGAGUCAAAUCGAAGAAGGCUUGGCCAAGGAAACCGAUCUUGCUCUUUUUCAUUUGGUCCAAGUGCUCAAGUUUAUUAAGGCAGAAGUAAUCGAUCUGAUAACAUCAAUAUCAGGAUUUGAUUUUCCUAGGACCAAUGAGUUGGGCUCUAUGGAUAUUCUGCUUGAAAAUCUGAAGGAACUACAGAGUUGUAAUGAGGCCGAUGAUUCAAUUGCAUUCCCAUAUGAUCAAAUCCACAGAGUCUUAGAAGAUCUCGUAUUCUUAAGAUCUUUCCUUGGAAAGAUAGUAGACCAGUGCAAUCAGAACAAAAAACUCCAAGCUUUUUGGCGUCGUGUUAUGGAGGUUGCAUAUAAAGCAGAGUUAGUGAUCGACUCGACACCUUUUGGUGAUGAACGUGAAUAUUGUUUCGAUGUUGUUGCUAGAGAUAUCAAUCUUAUGAAGAUUGAGGCCCAAGAGAUCUAUGGUAGCAUGAGCGAUGUUGGUGAAACCAAGAGAGUUACCAAGACUUUCACUCCCAUGCCAUCACAAGUCACUGCAGCCACGUACAAUGAAGAUCUGGUGCUCCUCGACAAUGAGGUGACAACUAUCACUCAUAGACUUACAGGAGGAUCAAGGCAGUUGGAUGUUGUUCCCAUCGUGGGUGUGCCUGGGCUCGGUAAGACCACACUAGCCAAUAUAGUUUAUAGUUCUCCUUCGGUAAUGUUGCACUUCCAAAUUCGUGCUUGGUGCACUGUGUCUCAAGUAUAUAGCCGGCACAACUUGUUAGUUCAGAUAUUGGGUAGUAUUGAUUCUAGGAGCCCAGAACAAUAUCUAAAGGUGGAUGAGGAUGAUUUGGCUGUAAAGCUAAAACAAUUUUUGCUCAGAAAUAGGUAUCUCCUAGUUUUGGAUGAUCUAUGGGACAUUGAGGCAUGGAAUUUGUUGGAAAGAUCAUUGCCUGAUGAUGCCAAUGAAAGCAGGAUUCUUGUCACGAGUAGAUUGCUGAAUUUGCAAUUCAAACCUGGUAGCAAGGCUCACUAUCUCCGGCACCUUACUGAUGAAGAGAGUUGGCAAUUGCUGCAGAAAAAGCUAUUUGGCAACGAAGGUUGUCCCACAAAACUACAUGGAGUUGGAUCUCAAAUAGUAAAAUCUUGUAGGGGCUUACCUCUUACAGUUGUCCUUGCUGCUGGAAUUUUUGCUACUACUGCACAAAAUUUCUGGGAAGAAGUUGCAAAAAGUCUAAGGUCCAGUAUUGUCCUUGACGAAGAAUAUUGCAUGAAGACACUUGAACUAAGUUAUAUUCAUCUACCAGAUGAUUUGAAGCCAUGCCUUCUUUAUUUUGGUGUAUUUCAAGAAGACGAAAAUGUUCCUGUCCGAAGGUUGUUAUGGCUUUGGAUCUCCGAAGGAUUUGUGCGAAAGAAAACUGGAAAGAGCAUAGAGGAUGUGGCAGAUGACUACUUGAAGGCACUGGUUGAUAGAAGUUUAGUCAUGGUUACCAAACAAAGAACUACGAGUGGUGCCAAAGCUUGCCCACUUCAUGAUUUGGUACAUGAGUUUUGUGUAGAAAAAGCCAAAGAGGAAAACUUUCUACACAUUAUUCAUCGUGGGAAAGAUCUUUUUAGUCUUACUGGCCUAAGCAACCCCCCGAGUUUGUGAUCGAAAUACCAGGAAAUUGAAGAUUCAGCACUCAAUGCUAUUUUUUCCCAAUUUACGCAGUUUGUUGUCGUUUAAAGAGGAUGAGUUGGGAUUUUGGUUGCCUAAACUUCUUAGAGUGUUGGAUUUGAGGAACUUGGUGUUUAAUGCAUAUUUUCCGAUGGAAGUAGUAUUGCUUGUUCACUUGAGAUACUUAGCUCUUCAUAUUCGAGGAAUAAAUUCCAUUUCCAACCCAAUAAAUUCCAUUUCCAUCCCAUUUGCAAUAUCCAACCUCUCAAGGUUACAAACUUUUCUGGUAAGAGGAGACUCAAUAUUCUAUUAUGUGUUACCAAAAACUAUCUGGAACAUUAAGACAUUGAGGCAUCUAUGUAUCACAGGUUUCAAUUAUGGUUUUGUUUUUCCUGUUGACGAUCUUGAAAUAUCCCCAUGUUUAGAUCAUUUAAACACUUUAAAGCUUGCCAUUGAUCCCUCCUCUCAAAGCUUGCAAAAGCUGCUGACAUAUUUACCAAGCAUCCGCAGGCUGAAAUGUAAGAGAUCGGAGAAAUCAAGUGAAGAAUUUACCAGAAUUGACGACAAGAUUCUGGUGUUCGACUGUUUGAGUCAACUAGAAUCACUUAAUCUAUCUUUUUUUGACGGAUACGGAUUUAAAUUCCCAUUGAAUUUGAAGAAGUUGACUCUUUCAUAUAAUCAUCAGCCAUGGAGUGAAAUCUCAACAAUUGGAAAGUUGCCCAAUCUUCAAGUGCUUAAAUUACGCCAUGGCUCCUUUGUUGGGAUUGAAGAAUGGGAAAUGAAAGAAGGAGAGUUCCCUAACCUCCGAGUCUUGAAAUUGAUAGGCGUGGCCUUGCGCAGCUGGACUGCAUCUUCUGAUAGUUUUCUCCAUCUUGAGAAAUUGGUUGUGCAUAAUUGUCCGGGGCUGAAAGAUGUGCCUUCUUGUUUAGGAGAAUGUCUGACUCUUGAAAUGAUUGAGGUGAAAUGGUGAUGAGUCUGUUGUAAGAUCAGUGAAGCAAAUUCAACAAGAGCAGAUGGAUAUGGGAAAUGAUGUUCUAGAGAUCAUAAUUGAAUAUUGUGGUCAUGCAUGAAGUUCCUCAGAAGGAGGAGCAGAAGAAGUCUCUCAGAAACACAGCCAAUUCCCUCGUAAGGAGUCUAAUUCAUGUUUCUUGAAAGCAAUUUCUGGAGCUUCCCCAUUCUUUUUUAAUCACUCAUUAAUCAGUCCAACAAUAUUAUCGUGCACACUCUAUUUAAUGCAGCUACAGAUUGAUUUGCUGCUUAUAACUAGCUGAGUAUGCAAGCUGCAUUUUUCUCUUCCGUCUUUGUAUUUCAGUCAGGGUAGUACAGAAAGUUUUAACUUGCUUCUGUUUUUCCUCAACAAGAACCAUACACAAUUGAUUGAUAUGUUAAAACAUACAAUAGUUUCUUUCUUUUUUCUUGCAACAAAUAUUAGGAGGAGAUAAAUCAAAAUAAAAAUAAAAAUUUGGUUAUGUUACUUUUCAAUAGAGAAAGGGCAUAGGAAAGAAUGGUAAAAAUUGCCUCAAAUAGUUGUCUUGUACAAUUUUUUAUUAUUGUUAUAUGCAGCCCAUUUUCAUUGGCUAGAUCUAGAAAUAGCUUUAGAUAUCAAGCCAAAGGAAAAAAAAAAAAAGUUUCUGAAAACUUGUGCAACAGUAAUCUUUAUAAGGGUUUUUCUUUCUUCUUUUCAGGGUUAAUUCCACUUUGUCCCCCCAAACUUUGGACGAUUACCCACUUAACUCUCUAAACUUUAAAAUGAGACACUUAAGUUCCUAAACUUAUAAAUACCUCCCACUUAAGGAAAAUUGUUAACAAAAAGUAUUGCAUCUCACCUCCAUAAUAGUCAGUAUAUGAUUUACUAUGAAUGUCAAUAGACUCUAAAAUGGGAGAGAAAAUCGUCUCUGAGCUUGUACAGGUUCCUGGUGCAGACUCCUGCAGUUUAAAAAAGCAUUACAAUUAGUUAUGCUGUUACAUGCUAAAUAACAAACCUACUCUGGUAAACAUUGUAUGAAAGUGAAAGUGAAUCAGAAACUGCUAUCAUAUUCAGUAUGAUUAGCUUUGUACGUGCAAAUAAAACAGGCAUCUCAAAUGAUUCGAUCCAUAAUCACAACGGGAAAGAUAUAUCCUAGGGAAUAACACAAAAUACUAUAACUCAAGCUGACAUUCUUCACUAAAACACAAAUACAACUAUGGAGUAUGUGAUCAAUGAAAAGAAAAAUAUUCUGCAAAAGAAUGAAAACGGUAAAUAUUUCAAAAAAUCACAAAAUCUUUACACUAACUGAGAGAAAAUCUAGCAAUACUACAAGAAUGCAGCAACUAGGAAAUAGCACAUCAAUUCUCCCCAUUGAAACUUCCUACAGCUAGUGACUCUGCAGGAUGUCCUACUAGAAGCCUAGAACUUGGGCACACGCACACACACAAGACAUCUGAUCUAUCGCAACUGCAGUAUCUAAAAAAUAUCACAUUGCAAAAAUCUAUAUUUGAACUUUUAAAAUAGUCCAAAUUGAAGUAACCAUUUGUAACAUAAUAAGCUUCUCAAGUUAUAAUAGCUUGCAACUUUGAGUUAACUAUUCAGAUCUUCCACAAUUGCUCUAUGUUUACGUGCUUGGUAUUGGAAGAUUCAAAGAUACCUCGAUACAUAUAAUCAUAGUUUACCAAAAAUUUCAAAUUCCGGAGAAAUUACAUAAGUUAUGAUUACAACCUGGCGAUUAGAUACUUCUGAUGUCGGAAAAAUAGGUGAGGUCCUCGCCUACUAGCUCUAGCAGAAGAAUGGGACGAUCCUUGGACUGUUUUCAGGCUUUGUACAGUACCCAUGAACAAUAACAUUGGAGAAAAAGGGAAGAAGAACAGGGAUUUAGGGGGGAAGAAGACAAGCCAAGUACUCCCUCAGACCCAAAUUUUUUAUGCAUUUCAAGAGUUUUUUUUUUAAAAAAACAGCGUAUAAGUAGCUGAAAAAGUUGAGCCAGGUUCUGUCUUUAUCCUUCAUAACAUCAUUGUGAUAAAUGUGUGGGGCCAAAUGAGAAUUGUUGUCUAUAUCAACCUUAUCAAGUUUUAUAUGUGCUGCACAUACUUCCUCAUUACUGAGGUUGUGUAGUUCACACGCUUAAAUUUGGUUCACAACCAAAACAACUAGAAAAAUAAGUGGUGCCUAGGACAUCUUGGUUGUCAGUUGAAAUCCCACCAAAAUCUAUCGCACCUUGAUGGUCUUGUUUUGUUGACUGCGUUGUUCAUGAGUUAAUUUCUCAGCACAAAUUAGACCUAAAUUGAUGGCUGAGUCAUACUAAUUCCCAAUGAGUAGGUGAAGGACAGGAAGUGAAAGUAGUUGUGUAGCUAUUUGCCAUAUUUAGAAAGUGACAUAAAUUUUGAGACAGUCCAAAAAGGAAAGCAUGACGCCCAUCAAUGGGACGGAGGGAGCACAAAACAAAAAACUCAAUUCCUAUUCAUCAAUCUCACCCUACCUAGGAUCACAUAGGAAUAUUAAAAUUUAUAAACUUCAAACUUUCCUAAACUUAGUAUUUCCAUCUUCUAAUAUGGAAAUUAACAAGUUGCAAAGCCUUUUAGGAACUUUUCUGUGACAAUGACUUACCUAAUCUAAUAAAUAACUAAAAAAAACUCAGCAACACACGUGUUGGAAAAUUCCUGCAACAAGUAAAAGACCAAAACACCCUUGAGACCCAAUCUUUCAAAAACUACUAAACUCAGAAAAUAAAACUAUAAUCAACAUAAACAAAGACUCUCGAUUAACAUAUUAUUGCUCCUAAUUACGCUCCUUAUCUACAUGGGAUGCCUAGUUAAAGCUUGAGGAAAAUCACACAAAUCUCUAGCUCUGUAUUUCCCUGAGCUCUUGGUUGACUGCAAAAACUUCCCAAUUAGUGAACUAACAAGAAUGGGAACAAAGUUUAAGACAAAUAAACUCAAGAAAUACAAGUAAAUGACAAAAUCUGAAUGCAGAACAAGGAAAAAGAGAGAGAGAGCUCUUUUUCUAAUGAUGUAAACUUGAAAUUCGUUAUCAGACAAUGCACCAUAUUUUACAUUAAUUUAGAUGACAAACCACUUGGUAUCAUGCCUUGAAGAAGGCUACUAUAAAGCUAAGUUAGGACAAAGAAGUGUGAUUUGUACAGAGCUAACUUAGGACAAAGACGUGCAGUGAGUUUAGAGCUAAGUUAAGACAAAGAUGUCCAACAAUUAUUUUACAUGACUUAAGGAAUUCUUGUCUCAUAUACAAAAGCAUCAAGUACAUUGCUUUGAAAAAGGAUAAUGACCAAGACCACAAAACGAACUGGAUAAUAAGCUGCAAACUGCCACAAACAAAAAAACAAUAAACAAACAGCUAAAUUGGGGGGGAAAAAGAUUUUUUUUACCAUUCUACUGACAUCUGUAGAAUCAAUGAAAGGCAUAUACUGCUUUUGAAGGAGUUCUCCAUUGAAUGAUUCCCCAUGGUCAGCAUCGCUUGCUUCGCUAUCAUGAGAACGUUUUUCGUCACACGAACAAACUACAAGGACAAUGAAAGAAAUCAUAUCCUGAGGACACUUUAACCUUUACACAAGACAAAGAAAAAGGGGCUACUUGAAAUUGAAGUAGUUAAUACACCAUAUCAAUGAGACAACCAGGCCUGUAGCACUAUAGCAGUUUAUAGAUAUUAAUAAUCAAGAAACAGAGGUUUCAAGCAGUGAAUCUCCAGAACCUCAUAAUAAAAUUGUAUUUCAAAAAAAACCUCAAAAAACUUCAAUAAUAAAAAAUUAUGGAUGCAAAUGUCUGAUUAACUUGCACCCAGCCUCUAAAUCUGAAUUUAUACUAUGCUCACUCUUACACAAACUAAAACUUCAAAUUUAAAUUCACAGAAUAAUUACCUCAAUCUUUCCCUUGGAAUGAUGCAUCUUGUUGCACAGUAUAUGUAUAGUCUCAUCCAGUUACAGCAGAAAAAAUAAAUAAAAAGUACCACAACAAAAGAAUCCUAUUAUCGCAAACAAUAACUAAACUAGUUACAUCCUUUGUCAUAGACUCUAAAGCCUUCUAACCAACAAAUACUUAAAGUUCUUCUCAAAAGAACAAUAUGUUUAAUCAUAAUUGACUUGAUCCUUAUAGACCCCCAAAAGACAGUUCUUCUAGAAGAUUGAGAUCCUUUAUUGUUUACUUACCAUCGUGAGUAUGUUGAAUAAUAGUCUGAAGUUCGUCAGCAUUCUGAGCAAUUUUGGAAACAGAGAGAGAAUUCUUGGAUAUCAUGGUUGAUUUUGGGCAUAUGCGGAGACCUUUUUUUUCUUUCAAACAGCCCACAGUUGACUUGGUUUUCAUUUUGAGUGAUGGCAUUUGAUCUAUACUUCUGAUAUGCACCAAAAUCUGGAUUUAAGAACAUUCGCGGGAAAAUAAACUCCUCAAAACAGUAAGGAACAACCACUGUCACUGAAAUGCUGAGGAUGAGAAGUCCAUCCAGGAAGGCCAAAACAACUCCAGGAGC